Molecule: ribosomal RNA, 686 nt
Filed under: uncultured Bacillus sp.
Lineage: Bacteria; Bacillati; Bacillota; Bacilli; Caryophanales; Bacillaceae
Description: bacterial SSU rRNA
Rfam family: Bacterial small subunit ribosomal RNA
Source: RNAcentral
AAGUCGAGCGGACUUGAUGAGAAGCUUGCUUCUCUGAGAGUUAGCGGCGGACGGGUGAGUAACACGUAGGCAACCUGCCUGUAAGAUCGGGAUAACUACCGGAAACGGUAGCUAAGACCGGAUAAUCGGUUUCUCCGCAUGGAGAGAUCGUGAAACACGGAGCAAUCUGUGGCUUACGGAUGGGCCUGCGGCGCAUUAGCUAGUUGGUGAGGUAACGGCUCACCAAGGCGACGAUGCGUAGCCGACCUGAGAGGGUGAACGGCCACACUGGGACUGAGACACGGCCCAGACUCCUACGGGAGGCAGCAGUAGGGAAUCUUCCGCAAUGGACGCAAGUCUGACGGAGCAACGCCGCGUGAGUGAUGAAGGUUUUCGGAUCGUAAAGCUCUGUUGCCAGGGAAGAACGCCAAGGAGAGUAACUGCUCUUUGGGUGACGGUACCUGAGAAGAAAGCCCCGGCUAACUACGUGCCAGCAGCCGCGGUAAUACGUAGGGGGCAAGCGUUGUCCGGAAUUAUUGGGCGUAAAGCGCGCGCAGGCGGUUUUUUAAGUCUGGUGUUUAAUCCCGAGGCUCAACCUCGGUUCGCACCGGAAACUGGGAGACUGGAGUGCAGGAGAGGAAAGUGGAAUUCCACGUGUAGCGGUGAAAUGCGUAGAGAUGUGGAGGAACACCAGUGGCGAAGGCGAC